GGUAGUGUGGCUGAGCAGUUUACGGCGCUGGUUUAAGACUCCAGUCUCUUUAGGGGUGUGGGUUCCAAUUCCACUGCUGCCA
Molecule: transfer RNA, 82 nt
Filed under: Lepisosteus oculatus (spotted gar)
Lineage: Eukaryota; Metazoa; Chordata; Actinopteri; Semionotiformes; Lepisosteidae
Rfam family: tRNA
About the family: Transfer RNA (tRNA) molecules are approximately 80 nucleotides in length. Their secondary structure includes four short double-helical elements and three loops (D, anti-codon, and T loops).
Source: Rfam by way of RNAcentral